GCCGUGGCUCCCUGCACACGCUGCUCCGGCCCUUACGCGGCAGGAAUGAUCCCAGUCGACUCACGGGACUGAGGAGCCGGCGGAGCACGGUCAUCGUAAAGCCGAGAAUCCGGAGGCUCAGAGAGAGGCCGUAUUCGGAACAGCGGACACCGCCAACGCCACGCCGGGCAAUCCCCACGCCGGGCCACGCGAUCACAGGACGAAUGGCUAACAGCCAUUCUGUUGUUUAAGUGACCGCUAAGUGCAGGCUUGCAGUGUGGCCUAGCGUCCCGAGCACCAGCAGGCUGCGGCGCGCUUCGGGGAGAAAAUGAGAGAAUUUCGCUCAGGCCUGACUUACCGCGGCUGACCAGGCGGUCAAUGUCAUCAACAACACCUACUGAGUAACGCGUCUUCACACAGGAGCACACGUAAAACAAGGCUGCGUACUGACCGGUUAAGAGAGCGUGAUGACUAGCACCUCACAGGAGCCUCGCCCUGCACACCCGCUCGGGGCCCUGCUCAGUUUGGCUAAUUCUGUGUUUGCAGGGAACAUAAGCAUCGAUGUAUUUUACAUCCUGGUAUGCCAGAGACACGGGCCGAGUCCCUCUGGGACCUCUGUCUGCUCAUGGGUACCACCUCUGAGCCGUUUGUCAGUGAGUUCGUCAGCUCCUACCAUGGAACAUCUAAUGCUGGCCGGUGUCAGCCUUCUUCCAUCCAGUCGCUGGGAACAGAGACAUGGACAAAACAAAGCCCCUGGCUCCCUGGAGCUCCCAUUCUAGCGCCAGAAGAGAGAUGUCAAUAAAGAAUAAGUAAAUAAAUAGUAUG
Molecule: long non-coding RNA, 804 nt
Organism: Eptesicus fuscus (big brown bat)
Lineage: Eukaryota; Metazoa; Chordata; Mammalia; Chiroptera; Vespertilionidae
Exons: 3
Source: RefSeq, a predicted model, not a curated record